This 320-nucleotide ribosomal RNA is filed under the name uncultured Prevotella sp. RNAcentral's name for it is "partial 16S ribosomal RNA". Lineage: Bacteria; Pseudomonadati; Bacteroidota; Bacteroidia; Bacteroidales; Prevotellaceae. The record is from RNAcentral.
GGAGUUUGGUCCGUGUCUCAGUACCAAUGUGGGGGACCUUCCUCUCAGAACCCCUACUGAUCGUUGCCUCGGUGGGCCGUUACCCCGCCGACAAGCUAAUCAGACGCAUCCCCAUCCCUCAGCGAUCAAUCUUUGCUCCUCGUUAGAUGCCUGCAAAGGAGAACAUAGGGUAUUAAUCCGACUUUCGCCGGGCUAUGCCCUACUGAGGGGAAGGUUGGAUACGCGUUACUCACCCGUGCGCCGGUCGCCAUCAGAAGUUGCAAGCAACUCCCAUGAUGCCCCUCGACUUGCAUGUGUUAAGCCUGUAGCUAGCGUUCAUC